RNAcentral lists this ribosomal RNA (253 nucleotides) under uncultured bacterium. RNAcentral describes it as "partial 16S ribosomal RNA". It matches the Rfam family "Bacterial small subunit ribosomal RNA", at positions 524 to 776 of the family's 1533-position model. The record is from RNAcentral.
UACGGGGGGGGCAAGCGUUGUUCGGAAUUACUGGGCGUAAAGGGCUCGUAGGUGGCCAACUAAGUCGGACGUGAAAUCCCUCAGCUUAACUGGGGAACUGCGUCCGAUACUGGAUGGCUUGAGUUUGGGAGAGGGAUGCGGAAUUCCAGGUGUAGCGGUGAAAUGCGUAGAUAUCUGGAGGAACACCGGUGGCGAAGGCGGCAUCCUGGACCACGACUGACACUGAAAAGCGAAAGCCAGGGGAGCAAACGGG